Molecule: long non-coding RNA, 1641 nt
Organism: Alligator mississippiensis (American alligator)
Lineage: Eukaryota; Metazoa; Chordata; Crocodylia; Alligatoridae
Exons: 3
Source: RefSeq, a predicted model, not a curated record
AACCUGAGCUGGAUACAUUCCUGAGGGAGGGGGCUCCCUGGUGGGCUAGAGGCUGCCAGUCUGCCCAACAACCAGUGAUGCAUUUCAAAUUGGUUGGCUGACAGCCAACAGGUGCUGGCAUCCAUUGGACCAGGUAAAUGAGGUCAUAAGGGCUAUAUAAGUUAAGGACUGCCCAGGAGGAGGAGGCAGCAGCUAUGAGGAAAACUCAGAGAGAGAGAAGAGAUGGACCAUCUGAAACUUGCUCUUUCUCUCAAAACUCAUGAUCAAUGAACUGCCUGCCUCCAGAGGAAAUCUCCACCUGCCUCUGGAUGAUACUAGACUGUGAUUACCCUGACGGCACCUACAGUAACCUCAUUAUUCUUAGACCAGAUCCUCUGGGGUAAAGCCAGAAUUGUUCCACUUACAGCAUUUCCAUUCAGAGAGGGAAGAUGAUCCUGUGGUGCGGGUUGAUUUGGAAAGCAGAAGACUCUGGUCUGAAUUCCCUGCUCCCAACAAAUGUCUUGAAUUGCUUUGCACAAGUCAUUCAAGUCCCAAACAAUGAUUUCAAUAGCAGUAAGCCAGCUAAAUAUCUUUGAGCCUUACUCUCUAUCCCCCUCCUCUCCACCUGUAAAAUGGAUGCUGUGAGGACAAAUACAUUCCAGACUGGGGGGUCUAUGAUGGGAGCCAUGUAAGUACCAUCCAUAUAUAGCUACCAUAUCCUGUUUUGUUUUGCUUUUUAAUUGGUAACUUCUGGAGGAUAAUACUAUUGCUACUUUAUAUAUAUGUUUAUCUCCUUUAAGGAGAGUUUGGCAAUGGCAAUAUGUAAUAUUCACUCAUCCAGAAUCAACAGGCAGCAGCUACAGCGUUAGUAUUAUUUUGGCAUUUAAAUUUACAAUAACUAGCCUUGCCCUUCCAAAACAAAAAUCUGAUUUUGAAUGCCUAACCCUGUGAAGUGAAGAGUUCCUGUGACUUCAGGGAGUGCAUUUUUAACACAAGGUGACUUGUUAUUUUCCCUACUAUGAAAUCUUAAGCAGGUAGUGCUUUGAAGAGUUACAAAGUGUAGACAUAGAGGGAAGGAGCUGCAGUGUUGGAGGCCAAGAGAAAAGGAAAACAAGUCAGAAGAUUCUGAAUAGAAUAACUGUAAUGAUAAUAUAGUAGUCCUUCAUUUAUAUUUAUGUAGCACUGCCCCAUUCUGUCAUGCCAAUUGAUUUGCAAAAACACUUGAACAGAUACAGCAGAACAAAAACACAUUAUCAUAAGAUGUCACAGUUUUAAAAUAUAACCACACUAAAGCCUGGCUGAAUAAGCAAAGGAAACUGUUAUCAUUUACCGUGUUUUUUCACUGUCUAUAAUCCAUAUUUGUUGCAUCAUGACAAUCCAAAGCCCAUAUCUUGGAGGACACAUUGCAUAAGCAGACCCUAACACACAUAAAACUCUAAAACACAGAGGCUGUGUCCAGAUGAGUGCGGCCAUACACCAUGUGGCACCGCAGACCCAUCUGCAGUGCUGCACACUGCACAUUCAAGCAUUUCCCAUGCUGCUACCUUGCAGCCUGGGGGUGUUUUUGAGCCCAAGAGAUCCCUGGUUUGAAAAAAAACACAUGCAGAAAAAAAGCACAUGUGGAGGCAGCAUGUGCCACCCAAAACCAGUGCCUGGCCAGCC